GAACUUUUAUCAAGUUUUGAGUUUCAUUCAGUUCGUGGCGUGUAAAUUUCGAUAAAUCCGCGUUUAAAACUAAUUAUUCGGUGACUAAAUUCGCGAAAAAUUGUGUGAAAAUCAUAGGUCAAGAUUCGUUUGAAUUCUUCAUGCGGUUUUGUGAAAAAGACAUUUAAACAAUCAAAAGUACAAUCGAGUGAGCUGUGUGUUUAGAGAUAGACAAAAGAUGUACCAUUAGUGUUUGAUAUCCUUCUUGAUGUCUUGUUUCAGCAUUUAUUUUAUGAAGUGUUUCAUGUUCCUGAUAUAAUUAAAGGUGUAUUCGAAUCGUUGUGCUGGAUGCCGAAUCUGGAAAAUGAAUUCAUUAGAUGCAAAUAUUCGCACAGAAGUCAUUCUCGUUGUGUACAGAUUCAUCGGUUCGACUUCGAGUUGGUUAAUGAGCCAACGAAUAACCAGACGGGUACCAGGAAGAGAAUACAAUAUGCUAGUUGACAUUACGACUGGGAAGAUGGCGUUUUGUUGCAUAAUGGAUCGUGUAAAAAUACACUUUCAAUCAGGUCUGAGUGUUAAAUGAAAUGGAAGCUAUCAUAUCACAUGGAAGGACUUCUCAAGUAAACGUUUCACGGAUGUUUUGGAGGAAACCACGCUAUAAAUGUGUUUCGGGAAUUACAUUUGCAUAAGCUCUAAAUGGUUUUCUUUUUUUUGUUCGCCGAGUUCCUGGAGUCUCAGAUGGGAUGAGAGAUGAGUCUUCUUCGGGUUGAUGAUAACGUGACGUUGUACUACUCGAAAAAGAAAAAUUACUGCUUCAGAUGCUCAAGAUGCUCGAAGUCAAUUUCAAUGCACCAAUUCUUCGACUCUCAUCUCUCCGACCUCAAACCAGUUUUGAAAAUGUUAAAAAUCAGAAAUCGGUAAGCAUUCAUAAUUUAAGAUUUAAAAUACAUACCCUAGAAUGAUUUUUUUUUCGAAGCGAUGAAAGGACAUCAAAAAAACUAUGCAUUUGGAAUCAGGCUGCUCAUUAUAAAACAUCUCUCAAAAAUCUCAGCAUUUUUGCUGAUAUCCUCUCCCAACUGCUCAAAAUCACUCUCAAUUCUUAUCACAAUAGCUCAUCUUUUUUGUAAAUGGGGGAAAUUCGCCGCAAA
Long non-coding RNA from Planococcus citri (citrus mealybug), 1127 nucleotides. RefSeq lists it as uncharacterized. The transcript is spliced from 5 exons. Lineage: Eukaryota; Metazoa; Arthropoda; Insecta; Hemiptera; Pseudococcidae. The record is from RefSeq and is a predicted model, not a curated record.